GUGGGAGAGGCUUAGUGGUUUGGCGUGAGAUUGCAAUUUGCAUCAAAAAUCUUGAGGUCGUGGGUUCGAUUCCCACCUUCCACU
This 84-nucleotide transfer RNA is filed under the name Testicularia cyperi. It matches the Rfam family "tRNA". From Rfam's summary of the family: Transfer RNA (tRNA) molecules are approximately 80 nucleotides in length. The record is from Rfam by way of RNAcentral. Lineage: Eukaryota; Fungi; Basidiomycota; Ustilaginomycetes; Ustilaginales; Anthracoideaceae.